AACCAACAGGGAUUGCCUUAGUAACGGCGAGUGAAGCGGCAACAGCUCAAAUUUGAAAUCUGGCCUUCUGGUCCGAAUUGUAAUUUGUAGAGGAUGAUUUUGGUGCGGUACCUUCCGAGUUCCUUGGAACAGGACGCCUUAGAGGGUGAGAGCCCCGUACGGUUGGAUGCCUAGCCUUUGUAAAUCUCCUUCGACGAGUCGAGUAGUUUGGGAAUGCUGCUCUAAAUGGGAGGUAAAUUUCUUCUAAAGCUAAAUAUUGGCCAGAGACCGAUAGCGCACAAGUAGAGUGAUCGAAAGAUGAAAAGCACUUUGAAAAGAGGGUUAAAUAGCACGUGAAAUUGUUGAAAGGGAAGGAUUUAUGACCAGACUUUUUCUAGGCGGAUCAUCCGGUGUUCUCACCGGUGCACUUUGUCUAGUUUAGGCCAGCAUCGAUUUUCGGCAGCGGAUAAAAGCUUCAGGAAUGUGGCUCCUCCGGGAGUGUUAUAGCCUGUUGUAUAAUACGCCGCUGGGGAUCGAGGUACGCGCUUCUGCAAGGAUGCUGGCGUAAUGGUUAUCAAUCACCCGUCUUGAAACACGGACCAAGGAGUCGAACAUUUAUGCGAGUGUUUGGGUGUUAAACCCUCACGCGUAAUGAAAGUGAACGGAGGUGAGAGCCCUUACGGGUGCAUCAUCGACCGAUCCUGAUGUUUUCGGAUGGAUUUGAGUAAGAGCAUAACUGUUCGGACCCGAAAGAUGGUGAACUAUGCGUGGAUAGGGUGAAGCCAGAGGAAACUCUGGUGGAGGCUCGCAGCGGUUCUGACGUGCAAAUCGAUCGUCAAAUCUGCGCAUGGGGGCGAAAGACUAAUCGAACCAUCUAGUAGCUGGUUACCGCCGAAGUU
RNAcentral lists this ribosomal RNA (878 nucleotides) under Robillarda sessilis. RNAcentral describes it as "eukaryotic LSU rRNA". It matches the Rfam family "Eukaryotic large subunit ribosomal RNA", at positions 63 to 968 of the family's 3401-position model. Lineage: Eukaryota; Fungi; Ascomycota; Sordariomycetes; Amphisphaeriales; Sporocadaceae. The record is from RNAcentral.